CCUACGGGCCGCACCAGUAGGGAAUCUUCGGCAAUGGACGAAAGUCUGACCGAGCAACGCCGCGUGAGUGAAGAAGGUUUUCGGAUCGUAAAACUCUGUUGUUAGAGAAGAACAAGGACGUUAGUAACUGAACGUCCCCUGACGGUAUCUAACCAGAAAGCCACGGCUAACUACGUGCCAGCAGCCGCGGUAAUACGUAGGUGGCAAGCGUUGUCCGGAUUUAUUGGGCGUAAAGCGAGCGCAGGCGGUCUUUUAAGUCUGAUGUGAAAGCCCUCGGCUCAACCGAGGAAGGUCAUUGGAAACUGGAGGACUUGAGUGCAGAAGAGGAGAGUGGAAUUCCAUGUGUAGCGGUGAAAUGCGUAGAUAUAUGGAGGAACACCAGUGGCGAAGGCGACUCUCUGGUCUGUAACUGACGCUGAGGCUCGAAAGCGUGGGGAGCAAACAGGAUUAGAUACCCCAGUAGUC
This 465-nucleotide ribosomal RNA is filed under the name uncultured bacterium. RNAcentral describes it as "bacterial SSU rRNA". It matches the Rfam family "Bacterial small subunit ribosomal RNA", at positions 338 to 795 of the family's 1533-position model. The record is from RNAcentral.